This 504-nucleotide ribosomal RNA is filed under the name uncultured bacterium. Its description in RNAcentral is "partial 16S ribosomal RNA". It matches the Rfam family "Bacterial small subunit ribosomal RNA", at positions 28 to 523 of the family's 1533-position model. The record is from RNAcentral.
GAUAAACGCUAGCGGCAGGCUUAACACAUGCAAGUCGAGGGGCAGCAUAGAUUGUAGCAAUACAAUUGGUGGCGACCGGCGCACGGGUGCGUAACGCGUAUGCAACCUACCCGUCACAGGGGGAUAAUCCGGAGAAAUCUGGUCUAAUACCCCAUAACAUAUGGAUCGGCAUCGGUCCAUGUUGAAAUUUUCGGAGGUGACGGAUGGGCAUGCGUAGCAUUAGCUUGUUGGUGAGGUAACGGCUCACCAAGGCGACGAUGCUUAGGGGGACUGAGAGGUUUUCCCCCCACACUGGUACUGAGACACGGACCGGACUCCUACGGGAGGCAGCAGUGAGGAAUAUUGGUCAAUGGGCGCAAGCCUGAACCAGCCAUGCCGCGUGCAGGAUGACGGCUCUAUGAGUUGUAAACUGCUUUUGUACGAGGGUAAAGUGGGUUACGUGUAACCUUUUGAAAGUAUCGUACGGAUAAGGAUCGGCUAACUCCGUGCCAGCAGCCGCAGUAA